RNAcentral lists this ribosomal RNA (567 nucleotides) under Streptomyces sp. 428F05. Its description in RNAcentral is "bacterial SSU rRNA". It matches the Rfam family "Bacterial small subunit ribosomal RNA", at positions 93 to 671 of the family's 1533-position model. Lineage: Bacteria; Bacillati; Actinomycetota; Actinomycetes; Kitasatosporales; Streptomycetaceae. The record is from RNAcentral.
UAGUGGCGAACGGGUGAGUAACACGUGGGCAAUCUGCCCUUCACUCUGGGACAAGCCCUGGAAACGGGGUCUAAUACCGGAUAACACUCCUGUCCUCCUGGACGGGGGUUAAAAGCUCCGGCGGUGAAGGAUGAGCCCGCGGCCUAUCAGCUUGUUGGUGAGGUAAUGGCUCACCAAGGCGACGACGGGUAGCCGGCCUGAGAGGGCGACCGGCCACACUGGGACUGAGACACGGCCCAGACUCCUACGGGAGGCAGCAGUGGGGAAUAUUGCACAAUGGGCGAAAGCCUGAUGCAGCGACGCCGCGUGAGGGAUGACNGGNNNUUCGGGUUGUAAACCUCUUUCAGCAGGGAAGAAGCGAAAGUGACGGUACCUGCAGAAGAAGCGCCGGCUAACUACGUGCCAGCAGCCGCGGUAAUACGUAGGGCGCAAGCGUUGUCCGGAAUUAUUGGGCGUAAAGAGCUCGUAGGCGGCUUGUCACGUCGGGUGUGAAAGCCCGGGGCUUAACCCCGGGUCUGCAUUCGAUACGGGCUAGCUAGAGUGUGGUAGGGGNAGAUCGGAAUUCCU